Molecule: ribosomal RNA, 400 nt
Filed under: phytoplankton environmental sample
Lineage: Eukaryota
Description: partial small subunit ribosomal RNA
Rfam family: Eukaryotic small subunit ribosomal RNA
Source: RNAcentral
AGCUCCAAUAGCGUAUAUUAAAGUUGUUGCAGUUAAAAAGCUCGUAGUUGGAGUUCAGAGUGAGCUCAGCCGGUCCGCCUCAUGGGUGAGUACUGGUCGACUCUCUCUUGUUUGUGGAUCCCGCCCGGAGUUAAUUCUUCGGGAUGUGGAGUUCACAUCGUUUACCUUGAAAAAAUUAGAGUGUUCAAAGCAGGCGUUUGCUUGAAUAUAUUAGCAUGGAAUAAUGGAAUAGGACCCUGGUUCUAUUUUGUUGGUUUUGAGAACCAGAGUAAUGAUUAAUAGGGAUAGUUGGGGGCAUUCAUAUUUCAUUGUCAGAGGUGAAAUUCUUGGAUUUAUGAAAGAUGAACUUCUGCGAAAGCAUUUGCCAAGGAUGUUUUCAUUAAUCAAGAACGAAAGUACG